Molecule: ribosomal RNA, 207 nt
Filed under: uncultured bacterium
Lineage: Bacteria
Description: partial 16S ribosomal RNA
Rfam family: Bacterial small subunit ribosomal RNA
Source: RNAcentral
AACGAACGCUGGCGGCAGGCCUAACACAUGCAAGUCGAACGCCCGUAGCAAUACGGGAGUGGCAGACGGGUGAGUAACGCGUGGGAACGUGCCCUUCGGUUCGGAAUAACUCAGGGAAACUUGAGCUAAUACCGGAUACGUCCGUAAGGAGAAAGAUUUAUCGCCGAAGGAUCGGCCCCGCGUCGGAUUAGCUAGUUGGUGAGGUAA